Molecule: long non-coding RNA, 1197 nt
Organism: Solanum lycopersicum (tomato)
Lineage: Eukaryota; Viridiplantae; Streptophyta; Magnoliopsida; Solanales; Solanaceae
Source: RefSeq, a predicted model, not a curated record
AAUUGUCUUCAAAAUUAGAGGAAACACAACUAUCACAAAAAUCAAUUGUCUUCAAAAAUUCCCUAUUUGAAAAACUGUCUUAAAAGACCAACAACCACAAAUGUCUUAAUCAUUCCUACCUACCUCACCAUUAAUCUCCAUCACAAUAUACAUCACGUCUACUUCUUUUUCCAAUUCUGCCACAUCAAUGGCCAAGCCUUCUUCUUUCAACUCGUCCUCUUCUUCAUUCCCUGGUAUCUUCUUCUCUUUUUGUUCUUUCUCUUCUUCUCCAUUUGAUUUAUUUUCUUCAUUUUUCCUCUCUUCGAGCUUCUCCUAUUCACUUUCUUUUUCUUUCUUUUCUUCAAGCUUUUUUUUUCAUUGUUCUCUUCCAUCUUCUCCUCUUUUUUUCUAGUCAUCUUUUUCUUUCAUCUCCUCUUCCUUCAUAUCUUCUACAACUUCAUCAACUUUUUCAGCAAAGAAUAUUAAUCAACUGUAGUAACAUCAUCAUCGACGAUAUCUAAUAGAAAGAUGUUGUCAUCAACUGUUGGUGCUGAAAAGUUGUCAUCUACUGCAUGAUCAGUAGCUAAGCAUUAACACAAAUAAAUUAUUUCACAAAAAUAAUAUGUAAAUUUAUCUACCUUUCUUUUUUUUGUUCUUUUCAGUACUUCUCAAUUUCUCCUCUCGUACAUAAGCAACAAUUUUCACCAAUGAUUUCUCGAGGGAUGCAACACGCUCACAUGGAUUUUCAUCUUGAGAAGUACUUGGUACCAAAUUCUCACAAGGUUGAUUAGGAUUGUGAUCACCUAAACAAUCAUCCUCAAAAAUUUCUACUGUUCAAGUCUUGGUGCCACUAUUACAAAUGGUAAUACAACGUCGAGUCAGGACAAAGUAAAGGCAAUGAUUUUCCUCUGUCAUCAUCUGGAUGAAGCAUUGAAGGUUGAAUACCUUACGGUGAAAAAUUCACUUGAAUUGUGGACUGGUUUGAAGGAAAGGUAGGACCACCUUAAGGAAACGAUAUUGUCAAGGGCUCGUUAUGAAUGAAUUCACUUACAGUUACAUGAUUUUAAGACUGUAUGUGAAUAUAAUUAUGUUGUAUACAAAAUUACUUCCCAAUUGAAAUUAUGUGGGGAGGACAUAAAAGAUGAGGACAUGUUGGAAAAAACUCUCACAAGUUUUCAUGCCUCAGAUUUGAUAUUACAGCAACAAUACCGUUAAAGA